This 305-nucleotide ribosomal RNA is filed under the name uncultured bacterium. Its description in RNAcentral is "bacterial SSU rRNA". It matches the Rfam family "Bacterial small subunit ribosomal RNA", at positions 335 to 656 of the family's 1533-position model. The record is from RNAcentral.
UGCCUACGGGAGGCAGCAGUGGGGGAUAUUGCACAAUGGGGGAAACCCUGAUGCAGCGACGCCGCGUGAGUGAAGAAGCAUUUCGGUGUGUAAAGCUCUAUCAGCAGGGAAGAAGAAAUGACGGUACCUGACUAAGAAGCCCCGGCUAACUACGUGCCAGCAGCCGCGGUAAUACGUAGGGGGCAAGCGUUAUCCGGAUUUACUGGGUGUAAAGGGAGCGUAGACGGCAAUGCAAGUCCGAUGUGAAAACCCAGGGCUCAACCGUGGGAGUGCAUUGGAAACUGAAUGGCUGGAGUGCAGGAGAG